This 254-nucleotide ribosomal RNA is filed under the name uncultured bacterium. RNAcentral's name for it is "partial 16S ribosomal RNA". It matches the Rfam family "Bacterial small subunit ribosomal RNA", at positions 524 to 776 of the family's 1533-position model. The record is from RNAcentral.
UACGUAGGGGGCGAGCGUUGUCCGGAUUUAUUGGGCGUAAAGAGCUCGUAGGCGGUUUGGUAAGUCGGGUGUGAAAUCUCCACGCUCAACGUGGAGGGGCCACUCGAUACUGCCAUGACUCGAGUCCGGUAGAGGAGUGUGGAAUUCCCGGUGUAGCGGUGAAAUGCGCAGAUAUCGGGAGGAACACCCGUAGCGAAAGAGGCACUCUGGGCCGGAACUGACGCUGAGGAGCGAAAGCGUGGGGAGCAAACAGG